Long non-coding RNA from Centruroides sculpturatus (bark scorpion), 1002 nucleotides. RefSeq lists it as uncharacterized. NCBI's taxonomy places the organism in Eukaryota, Metazoa, Arthropoda, Arachnida, Scorpiones, Buthidae. The transcript has 3 exons. The record is from RefSeq and is a predicted model, not a curated record.
AUAUAUAUAUAUAAAUAUAUUCAACUGGUUGGAGAAAAAAAUUUAAAAAUUUAAUUUUUUCCAGUGUACCAAAUAGUAGUUGUUCUGAUACUGAAGGAGAGAGUAUAGAUCCAAACAGUGCUUUUGUUGCAGUUGCAGCCAAUAAGAGUAAAAAAUUAGCGACUGCAACACAUUUACAGAAAAAGAACUGUAAACAGAACAUUUUUCCUUCACCAUUAAAGCAAGAUAGAUAUAGUUUUUUAAAUUCUGAAACUUGUAAAAAGGGCAAAGAAAAUAAAAAUAAAAAUAAUAAUAAUCAGUCUGCUUGUAAAGGAUUCAAAAAUGGUAUUGAUCCUAAUAGUGCUUUUGUGGCUGUUGCUGCUAGUAAAAGUAAGAGAAAUAUCUCAAUGCAAAAACUUGUAAAUGAAGAUAAUUUUUGUAAUAAUAUAAGGCAAAAUAAUGAUGUACAGAAUGUAAGUAUAUAAGAGGCUGUCUGAUGUUAUGAAAUAUUUUGUUUUUCAGUAUUUCCUUAAAAAGUUAAUUACAAAACAGAUAUAAAUUUUUAAAUCAAGUUUGAAUGUAAACAGAUAAUUUAUAUACAGGGUAUCCAAUAAGUCUGGAAUCAUAGGAAUCAUGUUUGUCUUUGUUUAUUCUUUUAAAGUAAAACAUCCAAACUGAUGUAUAUGAUUAGUGAAAAGUCUGGAUAUAUCCUAUUAAACCUAUCAGGCAUAUUUGGCAACUUUUCACUGUGGACUCCCAUGACCAAAAUUACUUGAAUUCAUUCAUUCUUAUUCAGUGCCAUACUUGUAAAAGAUUAAACGAAUACUAGCAUAAUUCUUAUGGUUCCAGACUUAUAAGACACAUUGUAUAUUUUGACAUUAUAAUUUUUUGUUUUAUAUAAAUCCUUAUUGAUUCACAAAUCAGAUCCAUUCCUAUGGUCCAUUUGUUGUAUGCAUUUGUCAGUUAUGUGUUAAAACAUUUAAGUAUGUAAGAAAAAAAUAUUAGCAAAAUUAAAAGAACAAA